UACGAAGGGGGCUAGCGUUGUUCGGAAUCACUGGGCGUAAAGCGCACGCAGGCGGAUUGAUAAGUCAGGGGUGAAAUCCCGGAGCUCAACUUCGGAAUUGCCUUUGAUACUGUUAAUCUCGAGUCCGGGAGAGGUGAGUGGAAUUCCUAGUGUAGAGGUGAAAUUCGUAGAUAUUAGGAAGAACACCGGUGGCGAAGGCGGCGAGCUGGUCCAUUACUGACGCUGAGGCGCGAAAGCGUGGGGAGCGAACAGG
This 253-nucleotide ribosomal RNA is filed under the name uncultured bacterium. Its description in RNAcentral is "partial 16S ribosomal RNA". It matches the Rfam family "Bacterial small subunit ribosomal RNA", at positions 524 to 776 of the family's 1533-position model. The record is from RNAcentral.